UUAUAAAGCAUAUUUAUAUUCUGUAAUUCUUCGAUUGGAGAAAUUGUAUUUAGUUAUUUUAUAAUUUUAAUUUUGUUAUUGUGUAGAAAAUUAUUGGUAAAUAUGACAGCUAUGUACAACACUUCGCAAACAAUCUAGAUCUAUACCUAUAUAUUAUUUAUCCUAAAGUUGCCACAUGACAACUUUUCCUUCAAGGUUGAGUGUGGACUCCAUCCCGAACAAGCUCAAGUACUUCCUCUUCCUCUUUCUUUGGUUGUUACUUCCGUUCAACGGCAAAAUAAAUCUCACCGCUCAUCAUUGCUUUUCUUAUCGCUGUUUUCUCUUUUUUUUGUCAACAUUUUCUAUGUUUUCUUCAAUUAUCUAUCCGUCCCAUCGCACAAGUUACUACGCUAGUAUAGUCAUGAAAUGCAAGUUAUAGAACGAAAAAUUGUAUGGUUAAUUUGUAGAGUUUAGUAUUUUAGGAGCCGUUUGGUUGGGGAAUAAAGGGGGGAUAAGGGAUUAUCAU
RNAcentral lists this long non-coding RNA (505 nucleotides) under Ananas comosus (pineapple). RNAcentral describes it as "long non-coding RNA (ACOM_LNC001111)". Lineage: Eukaryota; Viridiplantae; Streptophyta; Magnoliopsida; Poales; Bromeliaceae. The record is from RNAcentral.